This 440-nucleotide ribosomal RNA is filed under the name uncultured bacterium. RNAcentral's name for it is "partial 16S ribosomal RNA". It matches the Rfam family "Bacterial small subunit ribosomal RNA", at positions 338 to 795 of the family's 1533-position model. The record is from RNAcentral.
CCUACGGGUGGCUGCAGUGGGGGAUAUUGCACAAUGGGGGAAACCCUGAUGCAGCGACGCCGCGUGAGUGAAGAAGGAUUUCGGGAUGUAAAGCCCUAUCAGCAGGGAAGAAAAUGACGGUACCUGACCAAGAAGCCCCGGCUAACUACGUGCCAGCAGCCGCGGUAAUACGUAGGGGGCAAGCGUUAUCCGGAGUUACUGGGUGUAAAGGGGGGGUAGAGGGGUAUGUAAGUGCGGAGUGAAAGCCCGGGGCCCAACCCCGGGACUGCUUUGGAAACUGUGUAACUGGAGUACAGGAGGGGUAGGCGGAAUGCCUGGUGUAGCGGUGAAAUGCGUAGAUAUCAGGAGGAACACCGGCGGCGAAGGCAGCAUGCUGGACCGAAACUGACGUUGAGGCUCGAAAGCGUGGGGAGCAAACAGGAUUAGAUACCCCAGUAGUC